RNAcentral lists this ribosomal RNA (256 nucleotides) under uncultured bacterium. RNAcentral describes it as "partial 16S ribosomal RNA". It matches the Rfam family "Bacterial small subunit ribosomal RNA", at positions 1246 to 1500 of the family's 1533-position model. The record is from RNAcentral.
AAGGCAAAGCCGCGAGGCAGAGCAAAACCCUAAAAAGUACGUCUCAGUUCGGAUUGCAGGCUGCAACUCGCCUGCAUGAAGUCGGAAUUGCUAGUAAUCGCAGAUCAGCAUGCUGCGGUGAAUACGUUCCCGGGCCUUGUACACACCGCCCGUCACACCAUGGGAGUCGGUAACACCCGAAGUCGGUAGUCUAACCGAAAGGAGGACGCCGCCGAAGGUGGGAUUGAUGACUGGGGUGAAGUCGUAACAAGGUACC